Molecule: ribosomal RNA, 214 nt
Filed under: Arthrobacter sp. Li1-1
Lineage: Bacteria; Bacillati; Actinomycetota; Actinomycetes; Micrococcales; Micrococcaceae
Description: partial 16S ribosomal RNA
Rfam family: Bacterial small subunit ribosomal RNA
Source: RNAcentral
UAAUACCGGAUAUGACUCCUCAUNGCAUGGUGGGGGGUGGAAAGCUUUUGUGGUUUUGGAUGGACUCNCGGCCUAUCAGCUUGUUGGUGGGGUAAUGGCCUACCAAGGCGACGACGGGUAGCCGGSCUGAGAGGGUGACCGGCCACACUGGGACUGAGACACGGCCCARACUYCUACGGGAGGCAKCASUGKGGAAUAUUGCACAAUGGYAAAC